GCCGGGAUGGCGGAACUGGUAGACGCGCCGGAUUCAAAAUCCGGUGGUUUUGCGACCAUGAGAGUUCGAGUCUCUCUCCCGGCACCA
Molecule: transfer RNA, 87 nt
Filed under: Gammaproteobacteria bacterium
Lineage: Bacteria; Pseudomonadati; Pseudomonadota; Gammaproteobacteria
Description: tRNA-Leu
Rfam family: tRNA
About the family: Transfer RNA (tRNA) molecules are approximately 80 nucleotides in length. Their secondary structure includes four short double-helical elements and three loops (D, anti-codon, and T loops). Further hydrogen bonds mediate the characteristic L-shaped molecular structure. tRNAs have two regions of fundamental functional importance: the anti-codon, which is responsible for specific mRNA codon recognition, and the 3' end, to which the tRNAs corresponding amino acid is attached (by aminoacyl-tRNA synthetases). tRNAs cope with the degeneracy of the genetic code in two manners: having more than one tRNA (with a specific anti-codon) for a particular amino acid; and 'wobble' base-pairing, i.e. permitting non-standard base-pairing at the 3rd anti-codon position.
Source: RNAcentral